Non-coding RNA from Nemania sp. FL0916, 100 nucleotides. Lineage: Eukaryota; Fungi; Ascomycota; Sordariomycetes; Xylariales; Xylariaceae. The record is from the annotation of a GenBank genome assembly.
GGCAUGUUGCCAGAGUGGUUAAUGGGUGAGACUUGAAUUCGCUUUAGAAUUAAGCCAUCUCAUGACUUCGGUCGCGUAGGUUCAAAUCCUGCACAUGUCG